RNAcentral lists this ribosomal RNA (253 nucleotides) under uncultured bacterium. Its description in RNAcentral is "partial 16S ribosomal RNA". It matches the Rfam family "Bacterial small subunit ribosomal RNA", at positions 524 to 776 of the family's 1533-position model. The record is from RNAcentral.
UACGUAGGGUGCGAGCGUUAAUCGGAAUUACUGGGCGUAAAGCGUGCGCAGGCGGUUUUGUAAGCCAGAUGUGAAAUCCCCGGGCUUAACCUGGGAAUGGCAUUUGGGACUGCAAGGCUCGAGUGCGGCAGAGGAGACUGGAAUUCCUGGUGUAGCAGUGAAAUGCGCAGAUAUCAGGAAGAACACCCGUGGCGAAAGCGGCUCUCUGGAACGGUACUGACGCUGAGACGCGAAAGCGUGGGGAGCGAACAGG